GUCCCUGAUAUCACAUGUAUUGAAACAAGAAGACCUUCAAGAUAGAUCAAUUUCAAUCUUAGAGUCGAAGGAAAAGCUGUUCAGAGUCUUUGUUAAUGUUAUUUUAUCCAAGAAGUUGUUCGAUUGAUCAAGAAUCAAGAAUUAAAUCUCAGGUAACUUUUUUAACCCUUAACUAUCUCAAGUUAGCUAUCGAAUUGACGAUUUAUUUCUAUAAUAGAUAUUGUAAAAUGAAUUCGAAUUUAAACAUGUCGAGAUGGGGAAAUUCAAUAGCCAAGCUAUUAUAUUCUCUCGGUGUCCAGGAAACACAUAUUAACACUAGGCCAUUGUAAUCCGUAAGAUUAUGUGGUUAUAGGAAAUAGAGUUCCAAUUUCAAGUUAUUAUGUGGUUAAAUAGUUUUUAUUAAUCCAUUAGUUGAUAGCCCUAUGAUUUCUUUCAUUACUUUUUUUUUUUAUCAUGCGAGGUAUACAUUUCUUUUACAUUGAUGUAAAUAAGUUUGUUUGUUUGUUUUUUUUUUUUUUUUUUUUUUUUUUUUUUUUUUUUUUUUUUUUUUUUUAAUUCAUUAGAUAUCUAUUGUGCUGAGUAACUUCGAAAAGAUUAAACAUUACGUUUCUCAUUGAUGUAAUCUUGCAUUUCUCCAAGUUACAAUUGAUAUGGAAAAGAAUGUGUAUUCGACUAAUUUGCUUUCUGUCAAGUGUCAAGUAAAUAUUUAAAGGUGUUUGUCAUAUUCAAUAAUUUGUUACCGUAUGAAUCGAGUAUAUCUGUAUAUAUGAUUGUAUUUUUCUUACAUCUUUUCCAAAUUUAGAUAAUUAUACAUCCAUCUAAAAUCACUGAUAUGGGUAUCUUAUUCUCAUAGAUGGUUUUAUUAAUUUGUUUGCCCUUUCUUCAGCACGUUCAUGAUCCGGCAGGUUGAGGUGUUCACUAUCCACCUGUGGUUUCAGUCACCAAAAUGUCAAGAAGAUAAUUAAAUAGAUCAGGGAAGAUGAGGGCAAAAAUCAUAUUAGUUUUGGGCCAUCUAACAAUGUAAUAGUAAUUUUUUGCAUCCUAAAAUUUUUUCCUAUUAUUUUAAUAUUAAAAACUACAGUGAG
RNAcentral lists this long non-coding RNA (1085 nucleotides) under Lactuca sativa (garden lettuce). RNAcentral's name for it is "long non-coding RNA (LSAT_LNC001077)". Lineage: Eukaryota; Viridiplantae; Streptophyta; Magnoliopsida; Asterales; Asteraceae. The record is from RNAcentral.